Molecule: non-coding RNA, 29 nt
Filed under: Rattus norvegicus (Norway rat)
Lineage: Eukaryota; Metazoa; Chordata; Mammalia; Rodentia; Muridae
Source: RNAcentral
UAACAGUCUGGUAGCCACUGUAGAAACAC